GCAGUCGACGAGAACCCUUGGAUUCGUCUGAGGGGGAGAGUGGCGAACGGGUGAGUAACACGUAGGUGACCUGCCCCGAAGAGGGGGAUAACCAUUGGAAACGGUGGCUAAUACCCCAUGUGGUCUACCGAUCAAUCGGCAGAUUAAAGCUCCGGCGCUUCGGGAGGGGCCUGCGGCCCAUCAGGUAGUUGGUAGGGUAAUGGCCUACCAAGCCGAUGACGGGUAGGGGGCGUGAGAGCGUGAUCCCCCACACUGGCACUGAGAUACGGGCCAGACUCCUACGGGAGGCAGCAGUGAGGAAUAUUGCCCAAUGGACGAAAGUCUGAGGCAGCAACGCCGCGUGAGCGAUGAAGGCCUUCGGGUUGUAAAGCUCUUUUCUGGGGGACGAGAGAGGACGGUACCUCAGGAAUAAGUCACGGCUAACUACGUGCCAGCAGCCGCGGUAAUACGUAGGUGGCGAGCGUUAUCCGGAUUCACUGGGCGUAAAGCGCGUGCAGGCGGUUCCGUAAGUCGGACGUGAAAGCUCCUGGCUUAACUGGGAGAGGUCGUUCGAUACUGCGGGACUUGAGGUUGGGAGAGGGACGUGGAAUUCCCGGUGUAGUGGUGGAAUGCGUAGAGAUCGGGAGGAACACCAGUGGCGAAGGCGGCGUCCUGGCCCACACCUGACGCUGAGACGCGAAAGCGUGGGUAGCGAACGGGAUUAGAUACCCCGGUAGUCCACGCCGUAAACGGUGGAUACUAGGUGUUGGUGGCUAUCGUCAUCAGUGCCGUAGCUAACGCGUUAAGUAUCC
RNAcentral lists this ribosomal RNA (791 nucleotides) under uncultured bacterium. Its description in RNAcentral is "bacterial SSU rRNA". It matches the Rfam family "Bacterial small subunit ribosomal RNA", at positions 57 to 869 of the family's 1533-position model. The record is from RNAcentral.